CAAAGCAGUCACUGAAAGCAGCACCAAGUGUCAGAUACAGAGAGCAGCUUGGAAGAAGUGCCUGGCAAGAGAGGAAGAAACUUCAAAAGCUUUAAUUUCAAGACAAUAAAGGUCUCAUGUUAUUAUGUGUACAAGCUUUGACUGCAACUGGGAAAAAGUUAUAGCAUGCAGGUGCAUCACAAGCAGGUCUAGGGAAGUGAUAAU
Gavialis gangeticus (Gharial) is the source of this 204-nucleotide long non-coding RNA. RefSeq lists it as uncharacterized. The record is from RefSeq and is a predicted model, not a curated record. The transcript is spliced from 3 exons. NCBI's taxonomy places the organism in Eukaryota, Metazoa, Chordata, Crocodylia, Gavialidae.